GGAGGGGUUCCCGAGUGGCCAAAGGGGGCAGACUGUAAAUCUGUUGGCUCAGCCUUCGAAGGUUCAAAUCCUUCCCCCUCCACCA
Molecule: transfer RNA, 85 nt
Filed under: Limnochordaceae bacterium
Lineage: Bacteria; Bacillati; Bacillota; Limnochordia; Limnochordales; Limnochordaceae
Description: tRNA-Tyr
Rfam family: tRNA
About the family: Transfer RNA (tRNA) molecules are approximately 80 nucleotides in length.
Source: RNAcentral